Molecule: non-coding RNA, 32 nt
Filed under: Macaca fascicularis (crab-eating macaque)
Lineage: Eukaryota; Metazoa; Chordata; Mammalia; Primates; Cercopithecidae
Also listed under: 1 other name
Source: RNAcentral
UCGAAGCUAGGAUAAGCCAGAAAGGUGGCACA